Molecule: long non-coding RNA, 412 nt
Filed under: Pogona vitticeps (central bearded dragon)
Lineage: Eukaryota; Metazoa; Chordata; Lepidosauria; Squamata; Agamidae
Description: lncRNA (ENSPVIG00000000082.1)
Source: RNAcentral
UCACACAGCUUGUUUGUCACCAUUUUCAGGCUAAGGCGGGCCACACUGAGAGUUGGGGGUUCGAGUUUGGCCCGCAGGACUUCAGGCCUUGCCAUUCCUAUCCCAUAUGACAGUUACUUAGAGGACUACAAAGAAGAAAAAGAAUGGUGUAACUGACUGUCUGAUCCAAGCGGGCAGAGUCUUCAGACAACUGUUUCCUUGACCGUUUUUCCAGGUAAGUACAGUUAAGGUCAUAGAAAGGAACACUAAGUUAUUUGAAAGGCAGGGGAGCUUAGGCUUGAUGUUAGCCCUAUUCAGGCAUUACUUAGGCAGGUAGAAUCAUCAUUUUCAGAAGAGAGGGCUGUCCCCUACCCUACCCCGUCAUGGCAUUCUCCAGCUGGGAUGCAAUGUGUUUGCAGAACAAAUAUUGUUG